AACCAGAAGGCGCAAUGAAAGUGAAGGCACGGUCGCCGUGCUGCGUUGAGAGCUGUCCAUGGCAGCACAUCAUCGACCGAUCCCAUCCACGCCCUCGUGGUGUGGCGGGAUUCGAGUAAGAGUGUACCUGUUGCGACCCGAAAGAUGGUGAACUAUGCCUGAAUAGGGUGAAGCCAGAGGAAACUCUGGUGGAGGCCCGUAGCGAUUCUGACGUGCAAAUCGAUCGUCAAAUUUGGGUAUAGGGGCGAAAGACUAAUCGAACCAUCUAGUAGCUGGUUCCCUCCGAAGUUUCCCUCAGGAUAGCUGUAGCCCUAAGCAGUUUUAUCAGGUAAAGCGAAUGAUUAGAGGUAUCGGGGAAGAAACUUCCUCGACCUAUUCUCAAACUUUAAAUAGGUAAGAAGUCCGACUUGCUCAAUUUGAAGCCGGACACAGAAUGCUGGGUUACUAGUGGGCCAUUUUUGGUAAGCAGAACUGGCGAUGCGGGAUGAACCGAACGCCGAGUUAAGGUGCCAAAGUCGACGCUCAUCAGAUCCCACAAA
Molecule: ribosomal RNA, 539 nt
Filed under: Dactylospongia metachromia
Lineage: Eukaryota; Metazoa; Porifera; Demospongiae; Dictyoceratida; Thorectidae
Description: eukaryotic LSU rRNA
Rfam family: Eukaryotic large subunit ribosomal RNA
Source: RNAcentral